CCGCCGGAACGCCGGCGCACGGGUGAGUAACACGUAUGCAACCUGGCCGUGACAGAUGGAUAACCGGGAGAAAUCCCGCCUAAUACAACAUAAUGCCGGGAGGGGACAUCCCCUGCCGGCCAAAGGGGGCGACCCCGGUCACGGAUGGGCAUGCGGCGCAUUAGGUAGUUGGUGGGGCAACGGCCCACCAAGCCGACGAUGCGUAGGGGUUCUGAGAGGAAGGUCCCCCACAUUGGAACUGAGACACGGUCCAAACUCCUACGGGAGGCAGCAG
This 274-nucleotide ribosomal RNA is filed under the name uncultured bacterium. RNAcentral describes it as "partial 16S ribosomal RNA". It matches the Rfam family "Bacterial small subunit ribosomal RNA", at positions 84 to 354 of the family's 1533-position model. The record is from RNAcentral.